This 253-nucleotide ribosomal RNA is filed under the name uncultured bacterium. RNAcentral's name for it is "partial 16S ribosomal RNA". It matches the Rfam family "Bacterial small subunit ribosomal RNA", at positions 524 to 776 of the family's 1533-position model. The record is from RNAcentral.
UACGGGGGGAGCAAGCGUUGUUCGGAUUUACUGGGCGUAAAGGGCGCGUAGGCGGCCACCGCAAGUCAAUUGUGAAAUCUCCGGGCUUAACUCGGAAAGGUCAACUGAUACUGCGGGGCUAGAGUGCGGAAGGGGCAACUGGAAUUCUCGGUGUAGCGGUGAAAUGCGUAGAUAUCGAGAGGAACACCUGCGGCGAAGGCGGGUGCUGGGCCGACACUGACGCUGAUGCGCGAAAGCCAGGGGAGCGAACGGG